CAUCCCCUCUCAGCACUCCCGGAGGAGCCGCGCCAAAUCUACGGCACAACAAUCGAAAAAAGCCCAGUUUAACCCGCCCGGCCUGAGCCGAAGGUGGCCGGGACGGAGGAGAUCAGCCCUACCUUUGGUGUCCCGGGGGCUGCUGCCGUGUGUCCCCGCGGGGCUGCAGCAGGUCCCCCGGCGGGUCCCUCCCUCGCCGCGCAAAGCAAAAGCGCAACUGCGGGGAGCGGCUGCGCCGUGGGGAGCGGGACGGGCACGGCGGGGCCCGCGGCGCCGCUUCGGGGUGUCCCUGCCCCGGAUCCUGCCUGGCAUCGCCCGCUUUCCUUCUCUUUUUGCGGUUUUACAGAUGUUCGUAAAGGUGCUGGUGGCCUCGGGGUGUUUUGGCUGCUGUGGUGGUCUCGGGGUGUUUUGGGAGCUGUCGCUGUGAGCCUGCUGGGAAAGGCUCCUUCGCUCUUGCCUGGAUGUUCCCACCCCUGUGCUGCAGUCCCUGCUCCCGGUGCUUUGGGGGGCUUUAGGGUCCCCCCGAGGCUGAUCGUGGGAAGGUUUGGGCUCCCCAAAAGCAGCGAGUCCUCCUUAGUCAUUAUUACCUUAUUCAGGGGAUUCCCGCAGCUCUCAUGGAGCAAAGCAGGGUGAGCUCCAAGGGCUCUCCUUUUCCAAACGUGCCAUGAAGUGGUGUCACCCACGGCCACAUCCCUGGACCAUCGUGGUCCCCGGCCAUCGGCAGAGGGCAGAGCUGGCUGCGCUUUGAGGUUGAAAAGCAGCACUUCUCUGCUUAUCCGACAGAGGACUCCGGCUCACGAAACAUCAAGAGUUCUUGCUAAGAUCAAGAGGGAGCAACGAUUCAACUGCUUAAUCUGAAAAAGUGACUUUUAAACCCAUUUCUGGAGAAGUUCUGAAGAGAUUUGCAACUUUUAAAUUUGCGUUUAUUCAUUUUUCUUACGCACCUUCCCAGGAGAGCAGCAUACAUAUAUUAUAUAUUAUACAUCAUACAUACAUUAUAUUACAUUACACCUGCUCCUUUAAAGCACCAUUGAUUUACUCAUAUCACAAUUCCAACUUAGGCUCUGUAGCUCUUUACACUCCUUUUUAUGGUGGUUUGCAGGAGGUUGAUGGCUCUUACAGCCUUGCAGAGCACAGGAUUUGUCACCCUGUGGUGGCCCAGCCCCUCUCUAAGGCUCUGUGGAUCCCAUCUCCCAAAAAUGCAGCCCUGUUCCUGUUCCAACAGCUGAUGCUCCUGCUGGUUAAAGCUUCCAGCUUUAUUCUGAAGCUGCUGGUGAUUUGAUGGGUUUUAAUUAAUGUGGGAGUCAAAGCUUUCAGCACUGUGGGAUCUUCUGGUCAGAGCUGUCCCCGUGGUGCAGGGCUGGGUUUUGGCCUGAUGCUUUUGGGCUGGCAGCAGGGGGGUUGGGGUUUAGGGGGCUCGUUGGUGUUGAGGUCUCACAGAGCUCUCCAUGGAGGAUGCUGCCUCAGCUCAUGUCAGACCAGGGCUGUUUCCCUAAUUUCAGCAGGAUCUGGGAUGUGAAACUUUCCCAGCACCUCCCAGCAGCUGCCUCUGCUGUGCUCUCAUUUAUUUCCUCUCCCUCUCCCCAGAACUGUGUGAUGUGACACCUGGGGGUCCCCAAGCUCCUCUUGCCCCACCAGCAUUUCCUUGUGUGACCCUGGCACCUCCCUGCCUCCCGCAAGGAUCGAGGGGGAUGGUUUGGAGGUGACUUUAACAGACAACAAAAUUGAGGCCAGUCCAGGAAUCACCAAACCCCUGGGGCUGAGCAGCACAUGGGCUCGGGGAUGGGCUCCUUUGC
Molecule: long non-coding RNA, 1796 nt
Organism: Corvus moneduloides (New Caledonian crow)
Lineage: Eukaryota; Metazoa; Chordata; Aves; Passeriformes; Corvidae
Source: Ensembl